This 82-nucleotide transfer RNA is filed under the name Dermacentor andersoni. RNAcentral's name for it is "transfer RNA serine (anticodon CGA)". It matches the Rfam family "tRNA". Rfam says of the family: Transfer RNA (tRNA) molecules are approximately 80 nucleotides in length. The record is from RNAcentral. Lineage: Eukaryota; Metazoa; Arthropoda; Arachnida; Ixodida; Ixodidae.
ACAGUCGUGGCCGAGUGGUUAAGGCGAUGGACUCGAAAUCCAUCGGGGUCUCCCCGCACAGGUUCGAAUCCUGUCGGCUGCC